UGAUGAUCUAGUGAGAGAAAAUGGUGUGCGAGGAGAGAGAUAGAGGGAGAGAUUUGAACGCAAGCUUUAUAGAGGCGCUUUGGAGAAAUUAUAGAGAGAGAGAGAUAAGAGGCAAUUACACAGAGAGAGAGAGAGAGAGAGAGAGACAGAGGGCGGGUCUGGGUGAUAUAUAUAUAGUGCUGAGGGAGACCGUGCACCGAAGUCCAUGUUUAGAAAAAUGGGCCGCGACUUGCAUGGAAAUUACAGUAAAACGCUUAUGCUACUACUGGCUCGGCUUGGCUUUGGCAAGGUGUUGGAUUGAAUUAUCCACCGUGGCACUGAUUCGGACCUGGGCCCCACUCUUUUUUCACCAAUAUCCAGCAUACGGUAUGGGUUUCGCUUCUGUAUACUCACUCAUAUCCAUGGUUUCAGCAAUUACAUCUCACUCCUUAAAUUUAAAAUA
Long non-coding RNA from Ziziphus jujuba (common jujube), 442 nucleotides. RefSeq lists it as uncharacterized. The transcript has 2 exons. NCBI's taxonomy places the organism in Eukaryota, Viridiplantae, Streptophyta, Magnoliopsida, Rosales, Rhamnaceae. The record is from RefSeq and is a predicted model, not a curated record.